CUGCAGGUUCUUUGGUCAAUGACGACGCAACUGAGGGCCUGACGAAGAUCGGUCUAAAUUGGGAUCAGAAGUCUUCAACCGCUGGAACGCCAUGCGGAGGUUUGCGAUACUGUGCUUAUUGCUCGUCAACGAGGCAGACGGACUUUGGAGUGUUUCUGGAAAUGAUUCUUCCCGUUCUCACUUGAGUCUGCAUGUGGAGAAUAUGACUUGCAAUAAUGACGUUACCCAUUGCCAAUCUUGCUUCACCGCAAGAGAAGGAGGAAAAGUACAUCUUAUGAUGUUUGACUAUGUGGAAAACCCGUACAGGCUCUUGGAAUACUGUCCUACUGGGACUCACUAUUGGAAGGUGG
This is a long non-coding RNA of Acanthaster planci (crown-of-thorns starfish), 350 nucleotides long. The record is from RefSeq and is a predicted model, not a curated record. NCBI's taxonomy places the organism in Eukaryota, Metazoa, Echinodermata, Asteroidea, Valvatida, Acanthasteridae.